UUUAAAUUUGUAACCAUUAAACAGAUAUUAAACAAAUCAAAGUCAGAGCUCAUAUUUACACUGUCAGAAUACACUUGGUAAUUCUUUAAAAGAGGCUUGAAUUGCCAAAACGUCUUGUAUUUAAAAACAGAUGGUGUAUUUAGGAAUGGAAGAGAAACAAAAGAUCAGCAGGCUGCAGUGACGUCUCCAAGAUAACAGUGGAAGAGCUGGCACUACGUAUGGCAUGGAUGGUCGACGCACUAGUCAAGUCAAUCUUCUCCCCUGAAGAGAUGGAAGAGAUGCUCCCUCAUCAGGAAGUCAAUGUUCUACGGAUCGCUCACAGCCACGGGUGAUGGACCCGUACAAUCGUAUGCAGCGCCGAGGAAAAGGAAAGGCAUACAAAACCCGCCGCCGAUUGAGAACCACCGCACCUUCAAUACGCGCACGAGACCAUCCGGAGGGCCCUUGAUUGGAUUCCCUGUCUGAACGGAGCCCUGCGCUGUUCUUCCCUACAGCAACCGGCAGCAUCUUCUGGGACUUCGUUGCCUGCACUGCACGCCACACGUUUUUGUCUUCAUUAGUUCUUGUAGAGAAGAUGAUAUGAAUUCAUUUAUUUGCUUAACAUGCGAAUGAACAAAUUGAAAAACCGUGCUUCGGGAGAGGGAAAAUAAGUGCAAUAUUACAGGUUUGAAAUGGGAGAAUGCUGGAGCGGGGAGAAACGCAACGCGUUUCAGCUGAGCUAGUUCCAGGGAACUUCAUGGAGGAAAUUGGCGUCGAUAGCCAAAAGAUUGGAUUCAUGCGAACUGAGCCUGUAUCUUUGACCUUCCUUUCUGCACAUGGACAAUCAAUUAGUCAUCAUCAUACAGGACAGAGGCUAACAGGCCUAUAAAUACCAUUACCUGUUGUUGGAUCAUAUCAGCAAGUGCUUCCAUACCAACAUGGAUUUCCACUCUUCCCCUCGGCGUUUUCCGGCUUACCUCCUACUAUGCUUAUGCCUUAUGAUAAACAUAAGCAGAGGGUAUGGAUCUCAAAAGGUAUGGCCAAUUCAUCACCCUGCAUUUUAUGGCAUAGUGUUGGUUCUGUUCGAUGCUAAGAUAUGUUUUAUGUUCCUCUCCACGCAUAGCUGUACAUCGUUUACCUGGGAGAGAAGAAACAUGAUGACCCUUCUCUGGUAACAUCUUCGCACCAUGACAUGCUCACCACCAUUCUUGGAAGGUAAACCUCAGAACAAGCUUCCUAUCUUUCCGAGUUUGGUUCUGAUCUUCUGAAUGGCAAUAUACAUUUAGAGGACAGAGUAUUUCGUUCGACAAUUCCGAGAAAGGCUGCCAUUUUAUUUUUCCUCAUCAC
This 1326-nucleotide long non-coding RNA is filed under the name Triticum aestivum (bread wheat). RNAcentral's name for it is "long non-coding RNA (TAES_LNC026027)". The record is from RNAcentral. Lineage: Eukaryota; Viridiplantae; Streptophyta; Magnoliopsida; Poales; Poaceae.